This 29-nucleotide non-coding RNA is filed under the name Rattus norvegicus (Norway rat). Lineage: Eukaryota; Metazoa; Chordata; Mammalia; Rodentia; Muridae. The record is from RNAcentral.
UGUGAGUUCGUUGGCCAAUGCCUUGCUUU